AGGAAUAUUGGUCAAUGGACGAGAGUCUGAACCAGCCAAGUAGCGUGAAGGAUGAAGGUCCUACGGAUUGUAAACUUCUUUUAUAAGGGAAUAAACCCUCCCACGUGUGGGAGCUUGUAUGUACCUUAUGAAUAAGCAUCGGCUAACUCCGUGCCAGCAGCCGCGGUAAUACGGAGGAUGCGAGCGUUAUCCGGAUUUAUUGGGUUUAAAGGGAGCGCAGACGGGUCGUUAAGUCAGCUGUGAAAGUUUGGGGCUCAACCUUAAAAUUGCAGUUGAUACUGGCGUCCUUGAGUGCGGUUGAGGUGUGCGGAAUUCGUGGUGUAGCGGUGAAAUGCUUAGAUAUCACGAAGAACUCCGAUUGCGAAGGCAGCACAACUAAUCCGUAACUGACGUUCAUGCUCGAAAGUGUGGGUAUCAAACAGGAUUAGAUACCCUGGUAGUCCACACGGUAAACGAUGGAUACUCGCUGUUGGCGAUAUACUGUCAGCGGCUUAGCGAAAGCGUUAAGUAUCCCACCUGGGGAGUACGCCGGCAACGGUGAAACUCAAAGGAAUUGACGGGGGCCCGCACAAGCGGAGGAACAUGUGGUUUAAUUCGAUGAUACGCGAGGAACCUUACCCGGGCUUGAAUUGCAAAGGAAUAAUCUGGAAACAGGUUAGUCUUCGGACCUUUGUGAAGGUGCUGCAUGGUUGUCGUCAGCUCGUGCCGUGAGGUGUCGGCUUAAGUGCCAUAACGAGCGCAACCCUCGCCGCCAGUUACUAACAGUUAAAGCUGAGGACUCUGGCGGGACUGCCAUCGUAAGAUGUGAGGAAGGUGGGGAUGACGUCAAAUCAGCACGGCCCUUACGUCCGGGGCUACACACGUGUUACAAUGGGCGGUACAGAAGGCAGCUACCUGGCGACAGGAUGCCAAUCCCUAAAGCCGCUCUCAGUUCGGACUGGAGUCUGCAACCCGACUCCACGAAGCUGGAUUCGCUAGUAAUCGCGCAUCAGCCACGGCGCGGUGAAUACGUUCCCG
RNAcentral lists this ribosomal RNA (1017 nucleotides) under uncultured bacterium. RNAcentral describes it as "bacterial SSU rRNA". It matches the Rfam family "Bacterial small subunit ribosomal RNA", at positions 357 to 1376 of the family's 1533-position model. The record is from RNAcentral.